RNAcentral lists this ribosomal RNA (274 nucleotides) under uncultured bacterium. RNAcentral's name for it is "partial 16S ribosomal RNA". It matches the Rfam family "Bacterial small subunit ribosomal RNA", at positions 523 to 796 of the family's 1533-position model. The record is from RNAcentral.
AUACGGAGGGGGUUAGCGUUGUUCGGAAUUACUGGGCGUAAAGCGCACGUAGGCGGAUUGGGAAGUUGGGGGUGAGAUCCCAGGGCUCAACCCUGGAACUGCCUCCAAAACUAACAGUCUAGAGUUCGAGAGAGGUGAGUGGAAUUCCAAGUGUAGAGGUGAAAUUCGUAGAUAUUUGGAGGAACACCAGUGGCGAAGGCGGCUCACUGGCUCGAUACUGACGCUGAGGUGCGAAAGCGUGGGGAGCAAACAGGAUUAGAUACCCCGGUAGUCC